This 433-nucleotide ribosomal RNA is filed under the name uncultured bacterium. Its description in RNAcentral is "partial 16S ribosomal RNA". It matches the Rfam family "Bacterial small subunit ribosomal RNA", at positions 29 to 507 of the family's 1533-position model. The record is from RNAcentral.
AACAAACGCUGGCGGCAUGCCUAACACAUGCAAGUCGAACGAGACCUUCGGGUCUAGUGGCGCACGGGUGCGUAACGCGUGGGAACCUGCCCUUAGGUUCGGAAUAACUCCCCGAAAGGGGUGCUAAUACCGGAUAAUGUCUUCGGACCAAAGAUUUAUCGCCUUUGGAUGGGCCCGCGUUGGAUUAGCUAGUUGGUAGGGUAAAAGCCUACCAAGGCGACGAUCCAUAGCUGGUCUGAGAGGAUGAUCAGCCACACUGGGACUGAGACACGGCCCAGACUCCUCCGGGGGGAAGAGGGGGGAAAUAUUGAACAAGGGGCAAAGGCCUGAUCCAGCAGUGCCGUGGGAGUGUUAAGGCCGUAGGGGUGGAAAAGCUUUUUUCCCGGGGUGGAAAAGAACGGACCGGGGAAAAAAAGCCCCGGCUACCUCCGUC